GCCUCCAUAGCUCAAUUUGGUAGAGUACCAUCCUCGUAAGAUGGGAGUUCUGGGUUCAAGUCCCAGUGGAGGCU
Molecule: transfer RNA, 74 nt
Filed under: marine sediment metagenome
Description: tRNA-Thr
Rfam family: tRNA
About the family: Transfer RNA (tRNA) molecules are approximately 80 nucleotides in length. Their secondary structure includes four short double-helical elements and three loops (D, anti-codon, and T loops).
Source: RNAcentral